This 482-nucleotide ribosomal RNA is filed under the name uncultured bacterium. RNAcentral's name for it is "partial 16S ribosomal RNA". It matches the Rfam family "Bacterial small subunit ribosomal RNA", at positions 28 to 523 of the family's 1533-position model. The record is from RNAcentral.
GAUGAACGCUGGCGGCGUGCCUAAUACAUGCAAGUCGAGCGAACCACUUCGGUGGUGAGCGGCGAACGGGUGAGUAACACGUAGGUUAUCUGCCCAUCAGACGGGGACAACGAUUGGAAACGAUCGCUAAUACCGGAUAGGACGAAAGUUUAAAGGUGCUUCGGCACCACUGAUGGAUGAGCCUGCGGCGCAUUAGCUAGUUGGUAGGGUAAAGGCCUACCAAGGCGACGAUGCGUAGCCGACCUGAGAGGGUGAACGGCCACACUGGGACUGAGACACGGCCCAGACUCCUACGGGAGGCAGCAGUAGGGAAUCUUCGGCAAUGGGCGAAAGCCUGGCUGAGCAACGCCGCGUGAAUGAUGAAGGCCUUCGGGUUGUAAAAUUCUGUUAUAAGGGAAGAAUGGCUCUAGUAGGAAAUGGCUAGAGUGUGACGGUACCUUAUGAGAAAGCCACGGCUAACUACGUGCCAGCCGCCGCCGUAA